AACGCACAUUGCGCUCCUUGGUAUUCCGAGGAGCAUGCCUGUCUGAGCGUCAGUACCCACUCUCAUCGCCCCGUUUUUCGGAACGUGGGCGGUCGAGGUCCUGGGGCGUCGGUGGGUCUCACGGCCCACCCGCCCCUAACGUGGCACGCUUGCGAACCCGAAAGCCGAUCGCGACGUAGUAAGCUCAAAACUCUCGUCGAAGUCGAAAGGCUCAGGGCCGCCUCGAAACAAAACUCUCAGUUUUGACCUCAGAUCAGACAAGGAUACCCGCUGAACUUAA
Molecule: unclassified non-coding RNA, 280 nt
Filed under: uncultured Boletales
Lineage: Eukaryota; Fungi; Basidiomycota; Agaricomycetes; Boletales
Description: partial contains 5.8S ribosomal RNA, internal transcribed spacer 2, and large subunit ribosomal RNA
Rfam family: 5.8S ribosomal RNA (bases 1-52)
Source: RNAcentral